This 301-nucleotide ribosomal RNA is filed under the name uncultured bacterium. Its description in RNAcentral is "partial 16S ribosomal RNA". It matches the Rfam family "Bacterial small subunit ribosomal RNA", at positions 509 to 807 of the family's 1533-position model. The record is from RNAcentral.
CAGCCGCCACGGUAAUACGUAGGGUGCGAGCGUUAAUCGGAAUUACUGGGCGUAAAGCGUGCGCAGGCGGUUCGUUAAGACAGAUGUGAAAUCCCCGGGCUUAACCUGGGAACUGCAUUUGUGACUGGCGAGCUAGAGUAUGGCAGAGGGGGGUAGAAUUCCACGUGUAGCAGUGAAAUGCGUAGAGAUGUGGAGGAAUACCGAUGGCGAAGGCAGCCCCCUGGGCCAAUACUGACGCUCAUGCACGAAAGCGUGGGGAGCAAACAGGAUUAGAUACCCGGGUAGUCCCUGUCUCUUAUAC